This 30-nucleotide non-coding RNA is filed under the name Homo sapiens (human). Lineage: Eukaryota; Metazoa; Chordata; Mammalia; Primates; Hominidae. The record is from RNAcentral.
UGCAGAUGAUAACCUAACUGGAUGUGUACA